RNAcentral lists this ribosomal RNA (567 nucleotides) under uncultured bacterium. RNAcentral's name for it is "partial 16S ribosomal RNA". It matches the Rfam family "Bacterial small subunit ribosomal RNA", at positions 355 to 935 of the family's 1533-position model. The record is from RNAcentral.
UGGGGAAUAUUGCACAAUGGGCGAAAGCCUGAUGCAGCAACGCCGCGUGAGGGACGACGGCCUUCGGGUUGUAAACCUCUUUUAGCAAGGAAGAAGCGAAAGUGACGGUACUUGCAGAAAAACGCGCCGGCUAACUACGUGCCAGCAGCCGCGGUAAUACGUAGGGCGCAAGCGUUAUCCGGAAUUAUUGGGCGUAAAGAGCUCGUAGGCGGUUUGUCGCGUCUGCUGUGAAAACCCGAGGCUCAACCUCGGGCCUGCAGUGGGUACGGGCAGACUAGAGUGCGGUAGGGGAGAUUGGAACUCCUGGUGUAGCGGUGGAAUGCGCAGAUAUCAGGAAGAACACCGAUGGCGAAGGCAGAUCUCUGGGCCCGUAACUGACGCUGAGGAGCGAAACGGGUGGGGAGCAAACAGGCUUAGAUACCCUGGUAGUCACCCCGUAAACGUUGGGACUAGUUGUGGGGUCCAUUCCACGGAUUCCGUGACGCAGCUAACGCAUUAAGUUCCCCGCCUGGGGGAGUACGGCCGCAAGGCUAAAACUCAAAUGAAUUGACGGGGUCAUAGCUGUUU